This 17963-nucleotide long non-coding RNA is filed under the name Daucus carota (carrot). RNAcentral describes it as "long non-coding RNA (DCAR_LNC003582)". The record is from RNAcentral. Lineage: Eukaryota; Viridiplantae; Streptophyta; Magnoliopsida; Apiales; Apiaceae.
UUUGCUUUGCUUCACCUCGACUCCAAGAAAGUAUGACAUUUGACCAAUAUCUGUCAUCUCAAAUUCAUUAGUCAUAACUUUCUUAAAAUCAUCAAACAUACCGGGAUUGUUUCCGGUAAAUAUCAUGUCGUCCACGUAUAAGCAAACGAUCAUAAUAUCUCCCCCUGAAUUUGUUUUCGUGUAGAGUGCAUGCUCAUAUGGACUCUUCACAAAACCAUUUUUCUGAAAAUACUCAUCAACCCUUGUGUUCCACACUCUCGGUGCCUGUUUUAGACCGUACAAUGCUUUCUUUAGCCGGUAGACUUUAUCUUCCUGGCCUUUCUGAACAUAUCCUGGAGGUUGCUCGAUGUAGACUUCUUCUUUGAGAUAACCAUUUAGAAAUGCCGACUUCACGUCCAUCUGAAAAAUCUUCCAUUGAUUCUGAGCGGCAAUUGCUGUGAGAAGUCUGAUGGUGUCAACUCGUGCAACUGGAGCAAACACCUCAUCAUAGUCAAUUCCGUAUCUUUGCUUGUAGCCUUUAGCCACCAACCUCGCCUUGUAUUUUUCCACUUCACCAUCUUGAUUUGUCUUUGUCUUAUAGACCCAUUUGACACCUAUUGCUUUGUGUCCUUCUGGAAGAUUUGUGAGCUCCCAAGUAUCAUUUUUCUUUAUUGCACCAAUUUCCUCAUCCAUGGCUUUGUUCCAUUUGCUUUCUUCGGAAGCUUCCUCAAAUGUAACUGGAUCACAUUUAACCAUUAAACAAAAUAACGAAUAAUCAAAUGUUGUUUGUACCGGACUUGUAGCUUCAUAAAUAUUAUCCAGACUCCGCAUUUUUCUUGGUGCUCCCCUUGAACUUCUGCUUCCACUUGAAUCAGAUGGUGGUGAUGCGGGAGUUUGUUGAUUCGGACUUUGUGGAGGAGUUUGAUCAUCAUCCUCGUCAGCUUCUAUGUUGGGGUCAUCAUUGCCAUCAUCAUCAUCAUUAAAAAAUAACCCAGCAACUUUUCUUUCCUCCCCGCUCCAUCUCCAGUAAUCUGAUUCAUCAAACUCAACAUCUCGAGAAAUGAUUAAUUUCUUCGUAAGGGGAUUAUAGAGUCUGUACGCCUUGCUCCUUUUGUCAUAUCCGGUAAAGAUGCACUUCUCGCCUUUAUCAUCCAACUUCUUCCUUUUCUGAUCUGGGACAUGGGCAUAUGCAAUACACCCAAAAAUUCUGAGAUGUCCCACUGAUGGUUUGCUACCACUCCAUGCUUCAUUUGGAGUUUUGUUUCUGACACUUUUUGUUGGACAUCGAUUCAACAAAUAAACGGCACAUAAAACGGCUUCGGCCCAAAAGGUUCUCGGCAAGUGCUUUGCUUUCACCAUGCUCCUUGCCAUGUCAAGAAUAGUGCGAUUCUUUCUUUCUGCAACGCCAUUUUGUUGAGGAGUAUAGGCCGUUGUCAACUGAUGAUUGAUUCCAUGUGCUCUGCAAAAACUUCUGAACAGAUUAGAAGUAUACUCGCCUCCUCUGUCUGAUCUGAGUACCUUCAAAUAAUGACCACUUUGCUUUUCUGCCAGUGCUUUGAACUCCUUGAAUUUAUCAAGAGCCUCCGACUUUUCUUUGAUGAUAUACACCCAACUUUUCCUGCUAAAAUCAUCAAUAAAUGUUAGGUAAUAUUUAUUACCUCCAAGUGAUGAGAUAUCAAAUGGACCAGCAAUAUCUGUGUGAACAAUCUCCAAUGGCCUCCUGGCUCUCCAUGAUUUUCCAACGGGAAAACUUUGUCGAUGUUGCUUCCCCUUUACACACGCUUCACACAAAUUUUCUGGUUCAUAGAUUUCUGGCAAGCCGUUCACCAUCUUUGUCUUUGACAAUAGUUUCAAGCCAGAAAAUCCAAGAUGACCAUAUUUCAAGUGCCACAACCACGAGUCAUUUUUAAUGACCGACUUUAAGCACUUUUGCACCUUCGUUUGCAUAUCAAGCGUAAACAAACGAUUCUUUGACAUCUCCACAUUUGCAAUCAAUUCCCGAGCUUGAUUUCUCAUAAUGAGGGAAUUGUCCUGCAUCUGUAUAUUAUAUCCUUUCUCCACUAGUUGGCCAAGACUGAUAAUAUUAUUUUUCAAUGCAGGAAUAUAAUAAACAUCAUUUAUAUAUUUCUUUUCACCUUUCUUUGUCAUGAUCGUGACGGUACCUUUUCCUUUGACCGGAAUCUUUGACGAGUCACCAAAAGUAACUUCUCCGCUGAUGGUGUCGUCUAUCUCCGUGAAUAAUUCCUUAUGACCAGUCAUGUGAUUGCUGGCUCCCGAGUCAAGAUACCAUGUAUUUUUCUUGCCUCCUUCAUCUCCUUUGUAAGUGAGAAACAUAGCAGAGCCAACAUCUUUAUCUUCUUUUGCUUCAGCAAAAUGACUUCUUUCUUCCACCUUUGGUGCUCUACACUCAUAACUGAAAUGACCAUAUUUAUUACAGUUAUAGCACUGAUAUUGAGACUUAUCACCUCGUUGUUGAUAUCCGCCUCGUCCUCGGCCUCUAAAAUUUUGACCACGACCAGAUGGCUGAUAGCCUUCAGAAUUCUGGCCUCUAUUAAAGGACUGCCUUCCUCGUCCUCGUCCACCACGGUAGCCACCUCUAAAGCCACCUCUGCCACGUGCAGAACUGCUACUGCCAGAACUGUCACCAAUGGACACCUUACUUUGCAACGCCUUUUCCAAAUGGCUUGCAUCAUCAUACUGGUUCAUUCGCUGCUCGUGGGCUUGAAGAGAACCUACGAGUUCAUCAAUAGAAAUUGUGGACAAGUCUUUUGACUCCUCGAUGGAUGUCACAACAUAAUCAAAUUUCCUUGUUAAUGAACGGAGCAACUUUUCCAUGACCCGAACAUCAUCGAGACUUUCUCCAUUUCUUUUCAUCUCAUUUGUCACCGUUUUCAAACGCGUAACAAAUUCACCAAUAUUUUCGGAACUCUUCAUCUUCAAAUUUUCGAACUCCCCACGUAGAAUUUGGAGCCGAACCUUUUUGACUUUCUCGACACCCUGGAAUGAUUUCUGCAGAAUCUCCCACGCGUCUUUCGCCGUUUUUGCAUUUGAAAUUUUUUCAAAGGUUGAUUCAUCAACUCCUUGAAUAAUUGUAUAUAACGCCCUUUGGUCUUUUUUCUUGGAUUCUUUUAACGCCGUUUUCUCCGCAUCAGAAAGAACAGCUUCAUCCUCGGGCUUGUCAUACCCACUUUCGACAAUAUCCCAAUUGUCGUAUGAACCGAGUAAUACCUUCAUUUGGAUACUCCAGUUCCCGUAAUUUGUUGCCGUCAACAUCGGGAUUUGUGGUUGCGCCAUCAUAUUUGACAUUGUUUCUUCUCCGAAAUAACCUAGCUCUGAUGCCACUUGUUGGAAACGUGAAUGGGUUCAAACUUUAUCAACUUUAUAAAUUUAAAAUACUCACACCUGUAUAAUAAACAAACACUACAACUUUUAUAACGCAAACUCAAAGCUACAGCUUUUAUAUUUCUAUUACAACACAGGGCUACGGCCUUUCUUUCAAACUAGAGCUUCAGCUCUUACAAUUUCUCUCUCUGCUGUUUGUAUUUUUAUUUUCACUCGGUUAUCUCUUAACAUGCAUGCACACCAGUAUUUAUAGUAUAUAUAAUUUACCUGCUGUCCCAAUCCCUUACGUAAACAAGCUGGAUAGUCACCUUUUUUCUAGCGCUUCAUUAAUUAUACAUGACCAGCUAGCUGUGUUGCUUUUCUGUUUAUAUGUGUAGCCUACCUUAUUUGCAGGAUUCAAACAUGACUACUCUACCUGGGUUCAUUGACAGCUGCUGCAUGUGAAGCUUCUAUACUGCCACGUUCAUUCUUCCUUUAUUGUUCCACAUAUUUGACUCUGGAUAAUAACAACAGUUUGACAAAUUUACCGCAGCACACCAUUUUUCCUGGAAUUGCAUGGCUGUGCAUAAUUACUGUGUUCACUUUCUUUUUCCAUGUUACUUCAUUUAUAAACCCAGCUGUUAGUAUCCAUCUGCUUUAAUACUCUAGCUGCAGCUUUUGUUGACCGAAGAGUUUGAACUCUAACAAGAAACACAUUUAGGAUUGCUAACUUUGUGUGCUACUGAGAAAUACACAAAUGUUAUCCGAGCAGUAAUUGUGUCAAUGCUAUCUUUGGUAAGCCUUGUUUUUAGCUUCCGUUAUUGUAUUCGAGCAAUGCAGGCACAAUCCACACUCACAAUACAGUCAUGCUAAGUAGCAAUGUCCAAUAUAUAGAACCAGGCACCUGUAUUUUGCUUGAUUCAUAAUCCCCAAACAUAAUAGAACAGUACAUAUCUCACAAAUAAUACUACACUUUUCUAAUCAAAAAACAUAACUGCCGUCCCCAAAUUAUGAAAAUCACAGAGUCACUAUGGAAUAUGGCCGGUAAAUGCAAGGCUGAAAAACUAAUAAGACAUAUAUAAGAAUAUCUUCUUUAUCAGAGACUAGUGAUCAGUAGACAUCAGUAGCACGAGUUUCAGUAAACGGAAAAAGUUAAAGAUAGAAGCUAAAUAAAUAGUUGUCAUACAUCAUAGACAUUCACAAUAAUUACGUCAACUUAUGCUAAGAAACAUUGGAUUACCCCACAUGGUUUAUCUUAAGGUCUGAUAAAAUGAGGGAAAUUACUAUUGGAGGAAUACAACUAUUGACAAAAUCAGUUCCAUAAUUAACCACCAAAGUCAGCAUAUAUCCCAAGUAGACCACUACAAGAAAAUUCAUUUUUAAUGACAGAAAUUCCGUUGGCAGAAUAGGGAUUUCCGUUGGUAAAUCACCUUGCCAACGGAAUGAUGACGAAAACAAUGUGUUGGCAUAUAGCCCGUCGGGAAGUUCAUGCUAACAGAACAAAUUCGUUACUAAAUUUACUAACGGAAUACCGACACACUAAUAAUAGAUUUCUGAGUUUUUACAAUAACAAUGUUACAACGAACAUGCCAACGGAAUAUUUGGUUAGUAUUGUUAGUAACAUUUUCACAACGAAAUUUUGUUGGUAUAUUUAGUAACAAAAAUUCUGUUGGUACAUUUGGUAACAGAAUUGCAAACGAAAUUAUGUUAGUACAUUUAGUAAAAGAAGUGCUAACAGACAUGUUACCAACACUUUGCCAACCAUUUUAUUACCAAAUUCCCAGCACUUUACCAAUAGAAUUUUAAUUAUUUCCAGUAUAAACACCACAAAUAUAAUGUUUCCAAGGACCGUACAUUAUAAGAUAUUUAAAGAAUAUAAAGAAAUAGCAAGAACAAAUGUAUAAUAAUCUCCAGAUUGAGCGGAAACACGUCCAGAUUGCAGAUGAUGCUAAGAUUGAGCUUGUAUUUGACGUCCACAUUGAGCAGGUAACCACUGUCCAGAUUGAGCUAGUAACCGUUGUCCAGACUGAACAGGUAGCCUCUGUACAGAUUGACCUGAUAUAUUUUCAGCAUUAUUCCUCAACUUCUCUUGUUUGAAAUAUAAAAGAUAAUGGAUUAUCGGGCAAGAUAACACUAAAAAUUAAAUAAAACCAUAAUGCAAGGUGUUCAAUGCCAUUUUAAUGCAGUUGUGUGCCAUGGAUAAUGAUGAAAACCAUAAUAUAGUGUUUAUUUGAAAACGCAUGGCUACAUGAUAUGUGAAAAUAGAUUUAUCAUUCUUGUCUCAACCUUCUGACUUAGAACUAAUAUUCACUUAUGCAAUAGUUACAUUUCAACAGUCUGCCAAAAUUAACAUCCAUUCUUCAAAAUCAUAAAAAAAAAAAAACAUUCAGCUCUUACUGCCAAUGUCCUAACAGUACAGAGCUCUAAAAAAAUGCAAUACUGCCAAGAUUUAAGGACUGAAAAUAGUCUACAUUUAAAGUCCUCUGUCACAGAAAUUAAGAUUAUAAUGAAAAUAUAGUCAACUUAAAUGACUUACUUGGUCGGAGUAAUUGGCAUUGUCUAUGGUUGUCUUGGUGAACUCAGUCGCCUUUCUACUUUCGAUCUGAUUAUUAGAGGUAAAGCCAUCUUUGUCAACAAUUACAGUCAAAUUGAGUUUCUUUUUACAGACAAACUGCAAUAUAAUAAUUCGAUCAUAUGAUUAGUAAUACUUAGUCAUUCUAAAAGUGCAAGUCGAUUACCUCAAUGCACAGCCUUAUUAAAAAGACAAUACAUACCUUAUUAUUUAACUCAACUGGACAUAAUGAAUGAUAAAUGAUAGAAAUAAAAUAAUCAAAUAAGUAAAGAAUUAGACUGAAGUUCUAUAUACUGAAUAUAUAUAAAAGGUAGACUCACUAAAAUCUCAAGUCCUAUAACAAUGUGAAGUUCUUACAAGUUCAUAUGUUUGAGCACACAAAACUAUAUAAAAGAGAGCUCAUAAAAAGUCAGGUCACAGGUCUGAAAAAACUGUGUAAAAAUCUCGAAGCUUAGAAUCCAGAGUGUGAACAUAAUAAGAUCACUACUUUGACCGUCAUUCACUAGUCUCUUGAUUUCAAGCACAUAUUGAGUGUCAUCCAUUUAUUCAAGAGAAUUCUCUAACUAAAGAAAUAACAGAGAAAAAGUGCAUGCAGCAAAACCCAACUGUAAGGACCAUGAAGCGGCUCCCAUAUAGCAAAAUCCAACUGUAAAUAUGCAUUGAGUUUUCCAAACAAUGAUUCAAAUAGUGCAUGUGGAAGCAAAUGGUAAUCAGCAGAUAAUGGACAAUCCACACAUUUAUAUCACAUGUCUUUAGUACACAUGUAAAUGAAGAUGCAUUACAAGAAAAAUCAUUUUUAAUGAAUUUAAAUGGUAAUCAGCAGAUAAUUACCAGAGAAUCUUCUUGGCUUGGCUGGUAGACUCCAUAGCUGAUCUGUAGCUAUUAUACACUGGAUCGUUAGAAGCUUGGUAAGUAAGAACUCAACACAAUGAAUACUAUACUUUUGAAGCAAAUAAGUCAGUUCGAAAAAUUAUAAGUCACAAAGAAAAACUCAAACUGGUUCACAUUUAUAACUAAUAUAAAACCAAAGAGUCAGUUGGUCAGCUCUCAUGUUAACACCAUAUUGUGUGGAAUCUGACUUCUGCAUCUAGAAAUCAAUCUUAAAUUAACAAUCUGUUUUCAAUAAGAAAUUCAGACCCAAUUAACUCUUUUUCUAUCUCGCCUCUCUCUAUCUCUGUAACUCUUUUUUUCCUCUGUCCAUCUCUCAAUUUUUCUAUUCUUUCUUCUCUCCAUUUCUCAGUUCUCUCCUUCGCUAUAGCCCACACUCUCUUUCCCCCUCUGUUACCGUCUCUCUCUCGCUCUCUAUUCUUCUCUCAUACUGAAUGUUUGAGUCUCUAUUACUAUCUCUCUCCACAUAAAACAAAAUCAAAAUAAUAUACAAAGAAUACAUGAAUGUAAACCAAAUCAACAUCAAUUAAAAUUGGAAGCACAGUGACACGAUUUACCUUAGAUUGAAAGCCCCAAUUGAAAAACCCUAAUCAUCUGCAAAACAAAGACUUAAACCCAAUUAGUAGAAAUAAUAAAAUUAGAUGGCAAUAGUUCAACUUAGUAACAAUUAGUAGAAAACCAUGAACGAAUAUUUAGUUAGAUGUGAAAACGCAGAGUAGAGAUGUUAGAGUAGAGACGGGAGAGGUGAGAGCGGAGAGGCAGGUCAGAGUAGAGAGGAGAGAGAGAGAGUAGGAGGGAGUGAAUUAUAUUUUUGGUGGGAAUUUUGCCGCUCAUCUUUUCACGCCAAGAAAGUGAUACUUUCUUUUUUUAAUUAUUAUUAUUUUCAUAUUUUUAAUAAAUUAGAAUCAUCAUAAAAUAGUAUUUAUAUUUAUAUUUAAAAUUAUUAGAUUUUGUAAUAUGUUAUAUUAAAUAAAAUAAGCACAUAAUGUAAUUUAUUAUAUAUUAUACAUUAAAAUAAAAAUUAUACAUUAUAAGUUUAGACAAUAAAAGGCCUUCUUUUAAUAUUUUAAUAAAGUUUAAGUAAUUUUACCAUAUUUAAUUAAAAAUCAAGUUAUAAUAACAAUUGUAUGGUUGGAUUGUCUAAAAGAAUUUUAAAAAAAAUAAUUUCAUGUUUCAGGUAAGUAUUCGAUUAAAGACUAAGCAACUUGACCACAUUUGACUACAAAAUUCACACACCAAAUAAAAGGCUAAAUUUUUUUAAAUUUUUUUUUAAUCAAUAUUAUCAUGUUACAAUAACAUUCGUACGGUUAGAUCGUCCAAAAUGAUUUUCUAAGAAAUAGUUUUAUGUUUUGGGUAAGAUUUUCAUUAAAGGCUAAGUAAUUUAAUUGCAUUUGACUACAAAAUUCACACACCAAAUAAAAGACAUAUUUUUUAAAAUUUAUAUUAAUCAAUAUUAACAUGUUACAAUAACAUUCGUACGGUUAGAUCGUCCAAAAUGAUUUUCUAAGAAAUAGUUUUAUGUUUUGGGUAAGAUUUUCAUUAAAGGCUAAGUAAUUUAAUUGCAUUUGACUACAAAAUCCACAUAGCAAAUAAAAGGCUAUCAUUUAAAAAAAUUUAAUAUGUAUUAUCACAUUACAAUAAUAUCUGUACAGUUGGAACGUCCAAAAUAAAUAUUUAAAAAAUAGUUUUAUGUUUCUGGUAGGUAUUCGAUCAAAGGCUAAGUAAAUUGACCGCAUUUGACUACAAAAUCCACGUACUUAAUAAAAGGCUAAUUUUUUUAAAAAAGAAUUCAAUAUAAUAUUUCUAGUUAAGAACGUAAUAUAAAAUUUCUAAUUAAGAAUGUGCCAAUUAAAAAUUAUGUUACAUAUAUAAAUUCAGGAGAUUUAUUUAAUAUUAAAAAUACAAAUCUAAGUCCAUUAUAUUAUUGGACUUUUUUUACAACCCAAAUCAAUUUAAUCAACUAAAGCCCUUUGGGCUUUAGCAUUACACACAUGUCAACUAAGCCACUAGCAUAAUAUUCGGGUAUGUGCUCUUGUAGCGAAUAUUAAUUGCCAUCUAAAACUAAUAACCAAUUACUAACGGAAUUAUUAGUAUUUACCAACGGAAUAUCAACGAACCUAACAACAGAUGCUUUGGUCGCUAGUCUGUUGCUCAUUCCUUGGUCUUUUGUUACUAUUCUGUUACGUGGCUAUAUUUCGUAACAGAACGUUUCGUUGGUAUAUAAACGUAGUUAUUUGGUUGCGAAUUGGUUGGCAGAGCAUUGAUUAGUUAACUCGUUACAAAUCCGUUGGGAACUACCAACGGACUAAUUUCCCUUAGCAAUUUCCGUUGGUAAAAGCGCUUUCUCUUGUAGUGGACGCAAGACAGCAAUAAAUCAUGGAAUUUGAUACAAAAACUCAAUUCUAAUAAAAUUAAUAGGAAACAUCAGUUAUUACAUCAAAAGAAAUUCUAAUUAAAGUUUCAAAACAUAAUAAAAUUAAAUGUCACAAUUAACCAGAAUUAUAUUAAGCAAAGACAUUUAACUUAAACCACAAGGACCACAUUAUUUCCGACAUCACUUCCCUCUUCUUGUUGCUCACACUUUAGCCUGAGUUGGAUGUUGCACCCUAAUCAUCAUGACUUUUAAUUAUCAUCAUCAGUUGAGAUACUUUCUUCAUCCUUUUCCACAUUGUAGUCCCACUCAAGUUGCAGCUGCCUCCAAGGUGAAGCAGUCCACUUGACUGGUUUGGACCCUGCAACUGGAAAAAGGCUCUUUUUAUGGUUGAAAAUCUCCCAGGAGGUAGUACGGCGAAGAUUUGUCGGCGCUUGCUUGUAGGGGUUAUAAAGAAACCGGUUGUAUCUAUAAUCAACCAGUAAGAACUCAACGCUAUUGAAAAUUCCCUGAGGACGAUGAAAAUGCUGAUAACCUACAUCAAAACUGAGCUUCAUAGUCCACGAUGCCUCUACUCCACCACCACUAAGGCAUGCUUCAUCAUCCAAUGUCCACAAUUUCACCUUAUUUUCAGAUCGUUCGCACAUCAUAACAGCAAUCGAAUCAUAAUAUUCAGCAAUGCAAGUGUCUUCAGGAUCUACAGGGAGCUUAAUAUCAUAAAUUAAUACCUCCUUGUUUAGAUCAAAAGCCAUCAUUCCUUUAUGUCCCGUUGUUAACAAAAAUCCGUGCAAGCAUACUUCUAACGUUACAAAGGGAACAUCAAUGGGCAGAAUUUGCUUAAUUGGAUACAUCUUUCGCCAAGCAUUCCUGUUUGAAGAAUACACUGAAGUAGAGGAGGAUACAAUUUCAACAACUUUACAAUCAAAAUCUUUCUGAUCAAAACCAAAGCCUAUAAUCUGCUGCUUUAAGAGGCGACCUUCGGCUUGAGAGGGAAUUAGUUUGGAGAGUUUUGUAGCAGGGUUCCAAAGGUAAAUAUCAUAUCUCCUUCCAUGCUCAACAAGAACACAAACAAUGCCACAAAUUAGAACCCAAAAUUCUAGAAGAUGUUGGUCCAUAAGAAUAGUAACCUUCAGAGUAAGGACAGUCGAGUUGUUCUAAAACGUCGCCAGAAGUGAGGUGGGUGAGUGAAAAAGGGCCCCAGCCAUGUAGUUCAAGAUUUACUGAAUGAUGAACGAUAAGAGUUUCAUCAUCCUCCCCACUUGAGAUUGAGCGACGGAGAUGAUCUGUGACGAAACGACGGCUCGAAAUGUUGGACAGCCAGGAUUUGCAAACACACUUGGAUGCAAGUAGAUCCUUCACCGGAAGGCGGAGGAAAAUCUCAAACCAGAGGUCAUCUGUUAAAUUGCUCAUCGCUAUUUCCGGACUUCUUUUCCUCCUAUUAUGAUUUUCUUCCUGUGGGAAUGAUGGGAGAGUUGACGAAGAUUUAUCACUGUUAUUUUUCGUAAAUACCCAAGUCUAAAUGAAUUUUUGUAAAAAUACUAUCAUUAACUAAAACAAAUUGUAAAAAUACUAUCUUUCAAAAAAUAUUUGCAAAAAUACGAAGAUUGCAUUUGCAAUUACAUCUGUAACUACUGGCAACCAUAUAAGCAACCACAAAUGCAACUUGAAAAAUCUAUUGAAAAGUAUAUCUAUUUGAAUAAUAAGUUGCAACUGAUGGUAAAGAUAGAGAAAUGAAUGCCCCUUUGGGGCCAAUACUAAUAACUCCAAAAUAAUCAAAAAAAAAAUAAAAUCAACAAGCAUUGCAACAAAAAAAUCAACUAAAGCAACAAAUUAGAAAUCAACUCAAAAGCAACCAACUAAAACAAACAAGAAAAGAACUCAAAGCAACCAGCCAAGACUUACGGUCCAUCUCUCUUUCUUGAUUUUCCUUCUGCCUCCUCCGCCUAAGCAACUACAAAAUCAAAAACAACAAUCAGUGCAACCAGCAAUCAAUCUCAUCAAUUUUUUUGAUUCAAUCUUUGAUUUACCCAAAAUCUGAAAUCCUAAUUAAUCAAAAAUUCAUCUUAUUAAUUGAAAGUUCGAGAGAAAGGGAGAGAAGACGUGAAGAGAGACAACGAGAUAUAGGGAGAAGGUGAAGAGAGCGAGGAUAAAGAGAAAGAGGGAGAUAAAGAAAGCACCGAGAUAGAGGUAGAUGAGGGAGAAAUGAAGACAAAGACACUUUUUAUUUCACCAACUCAAAGCUACAGCUUGAUUAGAGCUUCGGCUCUUCUGUUUUCUUUUCUGGUUUUCAAACUCAGUACAAUUCAGUUUAUUGAACACAAAUAGAACCUCUAUUUAUAAGCCACGCAUAUGCUAACUCAUCUUAUUGCCUACACUACCCAGCUGUAUGUAUUAAUUUAGCCACCUUAAUUCAUGGGAUCAAAUUUCUAUUCAAACUAGGACAGCAACAUUUCUUCAGAUGAUCUACACGGUUUCAUUAAUACAUCUGACUUGCAUGUUGACAACUCCACAAUUCAAACCAAGCUGCUGCAUCACCACUUUAUCACCUGCUUGUCACCAGCUUGUCACCUUUGUAAAUAGCCUACCAUAUAUCCUGGAUUCAACAUAUGACCAGCUGCUGCAUUAACUAGUAUUCCUUGUUUCACAUGGCUGCCUUCCUUUAAUUAAUCUAGCAUAGUUAUACAUCCUGUCAACAUUGAGCCGUAUUGUUUUGACCGUGCAUGCAUGAAGAUAAGUAGCACACCAUAAUUCCACGAUGGCUCAUGUCAAGCUGAUAUUAUAUUCUGGAGAGUUUGAAAAAUCUAACACUCCCCCUUAAACUCGACUUUGCAUUCCGAGCUUCUUUUUCAUUUUCUGAAACACAUCUUGCUUCAAUGACUUUGUAAAAAUAUCUGCUAGAUUUUCUUCUGUCCUGCAGUGCACCAAUUCCACGAUUUUAUCGUUCACUUGUUCACGAAGAAAAUGAUAUUUAAUCUUGAUGUGCUUGCUUCGACUAUGUGACACCGGAUUUUUCGCAAGUGAAAUAGUGGAUUUAUUAUCCACAUAAAUAGUAACCGGUUCUUCUUUGACAAGAUUUAACUCGCCCAAAAUAUAGCUUAACCAAAUAGCCUGACAUGCGCACGCUGCUGCUGCGAUGUAUUCUACCUCACAUGUUGAGAGAGCGACUGUUUGUUGCUUCUUUGAUGACCAUGAAAAUAUUGCUGAGCCAAUAUGAAAAGCAUAUCCCGAAGUGCUUUUCCCAUCAUCUAAAUAUCCACCGUAAUCACUAUCUGAGUAGCCAACUAAUUUUGAAUCUUGAGAAUGCGUGUAAAACAAACCAUUAUUAAGUGUACCUUUAAUAUAUCUCAAAAUUCUUUUAGCUUCCAUGAAAUGAUCCUGCUUCGGCUUCUCCAUGUACCUACUAACCAAUCCGACUGCAUACAUGAUAUCCGGACGAGUAAAAGUUAGGUACCUCAAACUUCCAACCAAACUUUUGAACAAUGUCGGAUUUACCGACUCCCUCGUUGAAUCAAUUCUGAGCUUUAUGCUUGCUUCUGCAGGCGUGCUCACUGGCUUGCAUUCCUCCAUUCUGAACUUCUUUAAAAUUUGCUGUGCAUAUUUUUUCUGACCAUAAAAAUCCCGUCUUUGCUUUGCUUCACCUCGACUCCAAGAAAGUAUGACAUUUGACCAAUAUCUGUCAUCUCAAAUUCAUUAGUCAUAACUUUCUUAAAAUCAUCAAACAUACCGGGGUUGUUUCCGGUAAAUAUCAUGUCGUCCACAUAUAAGCAAACGAUCAUAAUAUCUCCCCCUGAAUUUGUUUUUGUGUAGAGUGCAUGCUCAUAUGGACUCUUUACAAAACCAUUUUUCUGAAAAUACUCAUCAACCCUUGUGUUCCAUGCUCUCGGGGCUUGUUUUAGGCCGUACAAUGCUUUCUUUAGCCGGUAGACUUUAUCUUCCUGGCCUUUCUGAACAUAUCCUGGAGGUUGCUCGAUGUAUACUUCUUCUUCGAGAUAACCAUUUAGAAAUGCUGACUUCACAUCCAUUUGAAAAAUCUUCCAUUGAUUCUGAGCGGCAAUUGCUGUAAGAAGUCUGAUGGUGUCAACUCGUGUAACUGGAGCAAACACCUCAUCAUAGUCAAUUCCGUAUCUUUGCUUGUAGCCUUUAGCCACCAACCUUGCCUUGUAUUUUUCCACUUCUCCGUCUUGAUUUGUUUUUGUCUUGUAGACCCAUUUGACACCAAUUGCUUUGUGUCCUUCUGGAAGAUCUGUGAGCUCCCAAGUAUCAUUCUUCUUAAUUGCACCAAUUUCCUCAUCCAUGGCUUUGUUCCAUUUGCUUUCUUCAGAAGCUUCCUCAAAUGUAACUGGAUCACAUUCAGCCAUUAAACAAAACAACGAAUAAUCAAAGGUUGUUUGUACCGGACUUGUAGCUUCGUAGAUAUCAUCCAGACUCCGCAUUUUUCUAGUUGCUCCCCCUGAACUUCUGCUUCCACUUGAAUCAGAUGGUGUUGAUGCGGGAGUUUGUUGAUUCGCACUUUGUGGAGGAGUUUGAUCAUCAUCCUCGUCAGCUUCUAUGUUGGGGUCAUCAUUGCCAUCAUCAUCAUCAUUAAAAAAUAACCCAGCAACUUUUCUUUCCUCCUCGUUCCAUCUCCAGUAAUCUAAUUCAUCAAACUCAACAUCUCGAGAAAUGAUUAAUUUCUUCGUCAGGGGAUUAUAGAGUCUGUACGCCUUGCUCCUUUUGUCAUAGCCGGAAAAUAUGCACUUCUCGCCUUUAUCAUCUAACUUCUUUCUUUUCUGAUCAGGAACAUGGGCAUAUGCAAUACACCCAAAAAUUCUGAGAUGUCCAACUGAUGGUUUGCUACCACUCCAUGCUUCAUUUGGAGUUUUGUUUCUGACGCUUUUUGUUGGACAGCGAUUCAACAAAUAAACGGCACAUAAAACGGCUUCGGCCCAAAAGGUUCUCGGCAAGUGCUUUGCUUUCACCAUGCUCCUUGCCAUGUCAAGAAUAGUGCGAUUCUUUCUUUCUGCAACGCCAUUUUGUUGAGGAGUAUAGGCCGUUGUCAACUGAUGAUUGAUUCCAUGUGCUCUGCAAAAACUUCUGAACAGAUUAGAAGUAUACUCGCCUCCUCUGUCUGAUCUGAGUACCUUCAAAUAAUGACCACUUUGCUUUUCUGCCAGUGCUUUGAACUCCUUGAAUUUAUCAAGAGCUUCCGACUUUUCUUUGAUGAUAUACACCCAACUUUUCCUACUAAAAUCAUCAAUAAAUGUUAGGUAAUAUCUAUUACCUCCAAGUGAUGAGAUAUCAAAUGGACCGACAAUAUCUGUAUGAACAAUCUCCAAUGACCUCCUGGCUCUCCAUGAUUUUCCAACGGGAAAACUUUGUCGAUGUUGCUUCCCCUUUACACACGCUUCACACAGAAUUUCUCGUUCUUUGAUUUCUGGCAAACCGUCCACCAUUUUUGUCUUUGACAAUAAUUUCAGGCCAGAAAAUCCAAGAUGACCAUAUCUCAAGUGCCACAACCACGAGUCAUUUUUAAUGACCGACUUUAAGCACUUUUGCACCUUCGUUUGCAUAUCAAGCGUAAACAAACGAUUCUUUGACAUCUCCACAUUUGCAAUCAAUUCCCGAGCUUGAUUUCUGAUAAUGAGGGGAUUGUCCUGCAUCUGUAUAUUAUAUCCUUUCUCCACAAGUUGGCCAAGACUGAUAAUAUUAUUUUUCAAAGCAGGAAUAUAAUAAACAUCAUUUAUAUAUUUCUUUUCACCUUUCUUUGUCAUGAUCGUGACGGUACCUUUUCCUUUGACCGGAAUCUUUGACGAGUCACCAAAAGUAACUUCUCCGCUGAUGGUGUCGUCUAUCUCCGUGAAUAAUUCCUUAUGACCAGUCAUGUGAUUGCUGGCUCCCGAGUCAAGAUACCAUGUAUUUUUCUUGCCUCCUUCAUCUCCUUUGUAAGUGAGAAACAUAGCAGAGCCAACAUCUUUAUCUUCUUUUGCUUCAGCAAAAUGACUUCUUUCUUCCUGCUUUGAUGCUCUACACUCAAAACUGAAAUGGCCAUAUUUAUUACAAUUAUAGCACUGAUAUUGAGACUUGUCACCUCGUUGUUGAAAUCCACCUCGUCCUCGGCCUCUGAAAUUUUGUCCACGACCAGAUGGCUGAUAGCCUUCAGAAUUCUGGCCUCUAUUGAAGGACUGUCUUCCUCGUCCUCGUCCACUACGGUAGCCACCUCUAAAGCCACCUCUGCCACGUGCAGAACUGCUACUGCUAGAACUGUCACCAAUGGACACCUUACUUUGCAACGCCUUUUCCAAAUGGCUUGCAUCAUCAUACUGGUUCAUUCGCUGCUCGUGGGCUUCAAGAGAACCUACGAGCUCAUCAAUAGAAAUUGUGGACAAGUCUUUUGACUCCUCGAUGGAUGUCACAACAUAAUAAAAUUUUCUUGUUNUUUUCUUGUUAAUGAACGGAGCAAUUUUUCCAUGACCCGAACAUCAUCGAGACUUUCUCCAUUUCUUUUCAUCUCAUUUGUCACCGUUUUUAAACGCAUAACAAAUUCACCAAUAUUUUCUGAACUCUUCAUCUUUAAAUUUUCGAACUCUCCAUGUAGAACUUGGAGCCGCACCUUUUUGACUUUCUCGACACCCUGGAAUGAUUUCUGCAGAAUCUCCCACGCGUCUUUCGCCGUUUUUGCAUUUGAAUUUUUUUUAAAAGUUGAUUCAUCAACUCCUUGAAUAAUUGUAUAUAACGCCCUUUGGUCUUUUUUCUUGGAAUCUUUAAACGCCGUUUUCUCCGCAUCAGAAAGAACAGCUUCAUCCUCGGGCUCGUCAAACCCACUUUCGACAAUAUCCCAAUUAUCGUAUGAACCGAGUAACACCUUCAUUUGGAUACUCCAGUUCCCGUAAUUUGUUGCCGUCAACCUCGGGAUUUGUGGUUGCACCAUCAUAUUUGACAUUUUUUCUUCUCCGAAAUAACCUAGCUCUGAUGCCACUUGUUGGAAACGAAAUGGACCUUAUAAGUAUUUAAACACACGCAAUAUUAAUAUGUAUAGGCUGUUAAAAAACAAACACACACUUUUUAUUUCACCAACUCAAAGCUACAGCUUGAUUAGAGCUUCGGCUAUUCUGUUUUCUUUUCUGGUUUUCAAACUCAGUACAAUUCAGUUUAUUGAACACAAAUAGAACCUCUAUUUAUAAGCCACGCAUAUGCUAACUGAUCUUAUUGCCUACACUACCCAGCUGUAUGUAUUAAUUUAGCCACCUUAAUUCAUGGGAUCAAAUUUCUAUUCAAACUAGGACAGCAACAUUUCUUCAGAUGAUCUACACGGUUUCAUUAAUACAUCUGACUUGCAUGUUGACAACUCCACAAUUCAAACCAAGCUGCUGCAUCACCACUUUAUCACCUGCUUGUCACCAGCUUGUCACCUUUGUAAAUAGCCUACCAUAUAUCCUGGAUUCAACAUAUGACCAGCUGCUGCAUUAACUAGUAUUCCUUGUUUCACAUGGCUGCCUUCCUUUAAUUAAUCUAGCAUAGUUAUACAUCCUGUCAACAUUGAGCCGUAUUGUUUUGACCGUGCAUGCAUGAAGAUAAGUAGCACACCAUAAUUCCACGAUGGCUCAUGUCAAGCUGAUAUUAUAUUCUGGAGAGUUUGAAAAAUCUAACACUCCCCCUCAAACUCGACUUUGCAUUCCGAGCUUCUUUUUCAUUUUCUGAAACACAUCUUGCUUCAAUGACUUUGUAAAAAUAUCUGCUAGAUCUUCUUCUGUCCUGCAGUGCACCAAUUCCACGAUUUUAUCGUUCACUUGUUCACGAAGAAAAUGAUAUUUAAUGUUGAUGUGCUUGCUUCGACUAUGUGACACCGGAUUUUUCACAAGUGAAAUAGUGGAUUUAUUAUCCACAUAAAUAGUAACCGGUUCUUCUUUGACAAGAUUUAACUCGCCCAAAAUAUAGCUUAAACAAAUAGCCUGACAUGCGCACGCUACUGCUGCGAUGUAUUCUGCCUCACAUGUUGAGAGAGCGACUGUUUGUUGCUUCUUUGAUGACCAUGAAAAUAUUGCUGAGCCAAUAUGAAAAGCAUAUCCCGAAGUGCUUUUCCCAUCAUCUAAAUCUCCACCGUAAUCACUAUCUGAGUAGCCAACUAAUUUUGAAUCUUGAGAAUGCGUGUAAAACAAACCAUUAUUAAGUGUACCUUUAAUAUAUCUCAAAAUUCUUUUAGCUUCCAUGAAAUGAUCCUGCUUCGGCUUCUCCAUGUACCUACUAACCAAUCCGACUGCAUACAUGAUAUCCGGACGAGUAAAAGUUAGGUACCUCAAACUUCCAACCAAACUUUUGAACAAUGUCGGAUUUACCGACUCCCUCGUUGAAUCAAUUCUGAGCUUUAUGCUUGCUUCUGCAGGCGUGCUCACUGGCUUGCAUUCCUCCAUUCUGAACUUCUUUAAAAUUUGCUGUGCAUAUUUUUUCUGACACAUAAAAAUCCCGUCUUUGCUUUGCUUCACCUCGACUCCAAGAAAGUAUGACAUUUGACCAAUAUCUGUCAUCUCAAAUUCAUUAGUCAUAACUUUCUUAAAAUCAUCAAACAUACCGGGGUUGUUUCCGGUAAAUAUCAUGUCGUCCACAUAUAAGCAAACGAUCAUAAUAUCUCCCCCUGAAUUUGUUUUUGUGUAGAGUGCAUGCUCAUAUGGACUCUUCACAAAACCAUUUUUCUGAAAAUACUCAUCAACCCUUGUGUUCCAUGCUCUCGGGGCUUGUUUUAGGCCGUACAAUGCUUUCUUUAGCCGGUAGACUUUAUCUUCCUGGCCUUUCUGAACAUAUCCUGGAGGUUGCUCGAUGUAUACUUCUUCUUCGAGAUAACCAUUUAGAAAUGCUGAC